RNAcentral lists this long non-coding RNA (748 nucleotides) under Bos taurus (domestic cattle). RNAcentral's name for it is "long non-coding RNA NONBTAT025355". Lineage: Eukaryota; Metazoa; Chordata; Mammalia; Artiodactyla; Bovidae. The record is from RNAcentral.
CUGUCCCUGAAGGUAUAAUCUUUGCCAUCACUUUAAGAUCCAUGCUGAAGCAGUAAAACAAUUUCAGUUGAUCAAAGUGCAAAAGUCGUUCUCGAACAUUUAAAAGCAAGCAAGCUGCCUAUUUAUAAGCCUUUCUCCUCCUUCAUUCGGAUAACUAAUUCUUAACCAAAAAAGCUUAAAUUCAGGCGUUUUUGCCCAAGAACUCGGGGAGGAAACACUCCCUUCCCUUUAUUAAGAACGGGUGCUAACUAACAAAGCUUCAACUCAUUUAACGAGCCGGAGCAGAAAAUUUUGUUAUUCAUUUUAUGAUUUGUUUUUUGCACAUUAGUUCUUCCUGACAGUAUUUCCUAGAUAAUCCUAUCACAAUCGUCUUACCAAAGGCAUAUCACCAACACGAGGGAGCUCUUCCAUCUGUGAAAUGGAGGAAAUACUAAGCUUCCCCAUAUUUAUAAGUAACUGCUUCCUAGAGUAGGGGCCAUAUUACGACCUCUUAAGUGUCGCACAAAGCUUGAAAAAUGAAACUGGUCACAUUUUAGCUAACAGGAGGUUUUCCUACGGGAGAUUCCUUCAAGUGAGACCGCCUUAAAAGUCCCAGCAGCACGUGUCCGCCUAGAUUCCCUUCUCCAGUUGCUUUUUGUCAGGAAAAGCGGCGAGCGCAGCCAACAUUCCUGAAACGCCCAUUGGCCUACACCCCGGGGCAGGCUCCGGGUCCGGCCCAGCAGCUCUUUGGUCGCUGCCUUUCAAUGAA